Long non-coding RNA from Stegostoma tigrinum, 812 nucleotides. RefSeq lists it as uncharacterized. The transcript has 3 exons. The record is from RefSeq and is a predicted model, not a curated record. NCBI's taxonomy places the organism in Eukaryota, Metazoa, Chordata, Chondrichthyes, Orectolobiformes, Stegostomatidae.
CCGGUGCCGGCUGCAAGGCAGAAGUGUGGAGUAGUGAAUUAUUUUUACGUGCAACCCAAGCAGAGAAAGUUGGCUCAACCGGCUCCUCCUCCUCGCAGCUGUCUAUCAAACCCUCCCAGGUUCGACUGUGAACAAGGAGAGAAAAUGAGAAGGUUCCCUAAACGAGAAUAGACGUCCACUGAUGAGCUGGUCAUUAGCCUUGCCUCCUCUCCCCAUGAAACCAUCAACCAGCAAUUUGUCACAUGCUAUGUGAAGUUGCCACAGCGCUGGUGGACCAUUCCUCUCUCGUGUGGAUUUGACCAACAAGUUCAAGGAGAAGCACGGGAAUUCCUAGAAGCCUGGUACUUCACAAAGAAAGCCAUCAACAAACACGUAGAGCUCUACCCUAUAUACACUCCACUGCGAUGGGAAACUGGAAGUGAGGUAAACCAGCUCGACGGACUCCAGAGUUUAAAUAACAGGCGGGAAAAUACAAUGGCACUUCAUCGGAGGCUGCACUGAUGAUGUUACCCAUUAGGGUAAUGAAAAUUCUGCGGAACAACGCACCAGCUCAGCGAGCGAAUCAACCACAAGUUCAAGGACAGCUUCUUCCUCACUAUAACUAGUCUCCUAACUGGGCCUCUCAAAUUUCAAAUCUAAUGUUUAUCUUGCUUUUUGUAUAACUUCUUUGCAGCCAUAAUCGUGUACUUGUUCUGUUCAAUCCACACUAUGAUCUUUGUGUCUAUGUAUAUUAUGAUCUUCCUCUACUACAUGCAAAACAAAAAAUAUUAGGUACAUGUGACAACAAUAAAUAAAAUCAAAUCCAACCCUUU